UGGGGAACCUGCCCCAUAGUCUGGGAUACCACUUGGAAACAGGUGCUAAUACCGGAUAAUAAAGCGGAUCGCAUGAUCAGCUUUUAAAAGGCGGCGUAAGCUGUCGCUAUGGGAUGGCCCCGCGGUGCAUUAGCUAGUUGGUAAGGUAAAGGCUUACCAAGGCGAUGAUGCAUAGCCGAGUUGAGAGACUGAUCGGCCACAUUGGGACUGAGACACGGCCCAAACUCCUACGGGAGGCAGCAGCU
Molecule: ribosomal RNA, 245 nt
Filed under: uncultured Lactobacillus sp.
Lineage: Bacteria; Bacillati; Bacillota; Bacilli; Lactobacillales; Lactobacillaceae
Description: partial 16S ribosomal RNA
Rfam family: Bacterial small subunit ribosomal RNA
Source: RNAcentral